Molecule: ribosomal RNA, 1345 nt
Filed under: Staphylococcus aureus
Lineage: Bacteria; Bacillati; Bacillota; Bacilli; Caryophanales; Staphylococcaceae
Description: partial 23S ribosomal RNA
Rfam family: Bacterial large subunit ribosomal RNA
Source: RNAcentral
GAGCUGUGAUGGGGAGAAGACAUUGUGUCUUCGAGUCGUUGAUUUCACACUGCCGAGAAAAGCCUCUAGAUAGAAAAUAGGUGCCCGUACCGCAAACCGACACAGGUAGUCAAGAUGAGAAUUCUAAGGUGAGCGAGCGAACUCUCGUUAAGGAACUCGGCAAAAUGACCCCGUAACUUCGGGAGAAGGGGUGCUCUUUAGGGUUAACGCCCAGAAGAGCCGCAGUGAAUAGGCCCAAGCGACUGUUUAUCAAAAACACAGGUCUCUGCUAAACCGUAAGGUGAUGUAUAGGGGCUGACGCCUGCCCGGUGCUGGAAGGUUAAGAGGAGUGGUUAGCUUCUGCGAAGCUACGAAUCGAAGCCCCAGUAAACGGCGGCCGUAACUAUAACGGUCCUAAGGUAGCGAAAUUCCUUGUCGGGUAAGUUCCGACCCGCACGAAAGGCGUAACGAUUUGGGCACUGUCUCAACGAGAGACUCGGUGAAAUCAUAGUACCUGUGAAGAUGCAGGUUACCCGCGACAGGACGGAAAGACCCCGUGGAGCUUUACUGUAGCCUGAUAUUGAAAUUCGGCACAGCUUGUACAGGAUAGGUAGGAGCCUUUGAAACGUGAGCGCUAGCUUACGUGGAGGCGCUGGUGGGAUACUACCCUAGCUGUGUUGGCUUUCUAACCCGCACCACUUAUCGUGGUGGGAGACAGUGUCAGGCGGGCAGUUUGACUGGGGCGGUCGCCUCCUAAAAGGUAACGGAGGCGCUCAAAGGUUCCCUCAGAAUGGUUGGAAAUCAUUCAUAGAGUGUAAAGGCAUAAGGGAGCUUGACUGCGAGACCUACAAGUCGAGCAGGGUCGAAAGACGGACUUAGUGAUCCGGUGGUUCCGCAUGGAAGGGCCAUCGCUCAACGGAUAAAAGCUACCCCGGGGAUAACAGGCUUAUCUCCCCCAAGAGUUCACAUCGACGGGGAGGUUUGGCACCUCGAUGUCGGCUCAUCGCAUCCUGGGGCUGUAGUCGGUCCCAAGGGUUGGGCUGUUCGCCCAUUAAAGCGGUACGCGAGCUGGGUUCAGAACGUCGUGAGACAGUUCGGUCCCUAUCCGUCGUGGGCGUAGGAAAUUUGAGAGGAGCUGUCCUUAGUACGAGAGGACCGGGAUGGACAUACCUCUGGUGUACCAGUUGUCGUGCCAACGGCAUAGCUGGGUAGCUAUGUGUGGACGGGAUAAGUGCUGAAAGCAUCUAAGCAUGAAGCCCCCCUCAAGAUGAGAUUUCCCAACUUCGGUUAUAAGAUCCCUCAAAGAUGAUGAGGUUAAUAGGUUCGAGGUGGAAGCAUGGUGACAUGUGGAGCUGACGAAUACUAA